GGGUGCUUGAGACUUUCUGUCUUGAGCAAUCGUGACGGACAGAAAGACAAAAGCCCCAAGUUAUUUUUCAAUACAACCUGAGGCUCUCGUAUGAAUCAGCAACAUAAGAAUAGCCUCUUAACAGCAGUAAUGCAAUCGGAGGUUAAAAUG
Molecule: antisense RNA, 150 nt
Filed under: Candidatus Regiella insecticola 5.15
Lineage: Bacteria; Pseudomonadati; Pseudomonadota; Gammaproteobacteria; Enterobacterales; Enterobacteriaceae
Description: Candidatus Regiella insecticola R5.15 sok antitoxin (CssrC)
Rfam family: sok antitoxin (CssrC)
About the family: Also identified in Shigella as CssrC.
Source: Rfam by way of RNAcentral